RNAcentral lists this ribosomal RNA (253 nucleotides) under uncultured bacterium. RNAcentral describes it as "partial 16S ribosomal RNA". It matches the Rfam family "Bacterial small subunit ribosomal RNA", at positions 524 to 776 of the family's 1533-position model. The record is from RNAcentral.
CACGUAGGGCGCAAGCGUUGCCCGGAAUUAUUGGGCGUAAAGAGCUCGUAGGCGGUCUGUUGCGUCCGCUGUGAAAACUCGGGGCUUAACCCCGAGCCUGCAGUGGAUACGGGCAGACUAGAGGUAGGUAGGGGAGAAUGGAAUUCCCGGUGUAGCGGUGAAAUGCGCAGAUAUCGGGAGGAACACCGGUGGCGAAGGCGGUUCUCUGGGCCUUACCUGACGCUGAGGAGCGAAAGCGUGGGGAGCGAACAGG